GGGCGGUUAGCUCAGUUGGUAGAGCAUCUCGCUUACACCGAGAAUGUCAGCGGUUCGAGCCCGUUACCGCCCACCA
This 76-nucleotide transfer RNA is filed under the name Chelatococcus asaccharovorans. Its description in RNAcentral is "tRNA-Val". It matches the Rfam family "tRNA". Rfam says of the family: Transfer RNA (tRNA) molecules are approximately 80 nucleotides in length. Their secondary structure includes four short double-helical elements and three loops (D, anti-codon, and T loops). RNAcentral also lists the same sequence under 4 other names. Lineage: Bacteria; Pseudomonadati; Pseudomonadota; Alphaproteobacteria; Hyphomicrobiales; Chelatococcaceae. The record is from RNAcentral.